Molecule: RNA transcript, 11255 nt
Organism: Amaranthus tricolor (Joseph's coat)
Lineage: Eukaryota; Viridiplantae; Streptophyta; Magnoliopsida; Caryophyllales; Amaranthaceae
Gene name: nucleosome assembly protein 1;2-like
Exons: 8
Source: RefSeq, a predicted model, not a curated record
CAAUGCAGCAAGUGUAAAGCACAAACACAAUCGUCACUGCUGCUUCCAAAUCCACUCCAUUAAAUGCAAACAUUGUUCCCCUUCUUUCCUUUAGCUCAGCCAUAUCUUCUCUUCUCUCUUUUUCGCGAUUUUUGGGCAGCUGAUCAAAACAAGACGAAGGUCUCAAAUGGAGAAAGCGCCCAUUAAAGAGCAACUUCAAGCGAUUGUUAGGAGUAAUGAAGGGAAGAUGGCUCAGUUUCCACUCAAGUUCAUUUUACCCUUCUCAUUUUCUUUUUUUUUUUUUUGCAGAUCAAACAUCUUCUUUGCAGAUCAAACCUGUUCUUCAAAAUUCUAGGGUUUCUCCACAAACCCUUUUUGGUCUGAUUUGAUUGAUUUUUGUUAAUCAUUUAUUUGGGUUGAUUUUGGGUUGAUUUAUAUGAGUUGAUUUAUUUGGAUUGCUAUUUUCUAUUUGGGUUGAAUUCGAUUUUUAUAGAAUUGAUUAAAACCUAAUUUUGUGGUGCUUCUGCUGUGCUUGUUCUGGGUUGAAUUCGAAUUUUUUAAAGCUACAAAGAGAUAAAUAAGGUAAGAGAGAUUCCAUUCCCAAAACAACUUCUUUCCUCAAAAAACAACCUAAAAAAGUUUCAUCUCAUUUUUGUGUGUUCUUUUACUCCUUUUUUCCCAAAACAAAACCCAAUUAUCAAAAGUUGAGAUCUGGAACAUUUUAUUGCGUUUGUGUGUUCUUUCUACUCCUUUUUUCCCAAAACAAAACCAAAUUAUCAAAUUUUGAGAUCUGGAACAUUUUAUUGUUUACCCAGAUGAAUUUAAUCAAAAAAAACCCACAAAAAUGACGAAAAUGGUGGUAUUUUCAAAAUACGGAGAAUGUUCUUCCGGUAAAAACUUGGGCGGAAAGACGGUGAUUGUUGAAAUAAGAUCAGACCAAGAAAGUAAACAACUUUAAACAUGGGCUUUAAUGAAAAUUGCUCAUCCUGGAGACCGUCUUCUUGCCCUUCAUGUUCUUCAUCACUCUUCUACUGGUUUGUCCAAUAUUUUUUUCCUGGAUGAAUUUAAUUGACUUCUUUGAUUUUUGAUUUUUGAAAUUUAUCGUGUUUGAAAUCAUUGUGUUUGAAAAUUGCUUAACUUACCUACAUUUUUCUGGGUUUUGAUUUUGGGUGUUUAAAUUUAUUGUGUGUUGAUUUUUUUAGGUUUUUAAAAUUUUUAUUUUGAGUUUUUGAAAAUUAUUGUGGGCUAAAUGUUUUUGUGGGUUUUAAUUUAAUUUUUGUGGGUUUCUUAGCAGGUGUUGAACGAUGCUUCUUUCUUUGGUGAAGACAUUUGAUUUUACUCUUGCUGUUUACGAAGGCUUUUGUUAUUUGAAGCAGUUUAUUUCGGUUUAAGCAUGGGCUUCUUGCUUCAUAGCAAAAUAAAUUGGAGAGCAUUCGUACCUGGAAAUAAGCAAGAUGAUCUGUGCAUUAGUAUUCAAUUUGUGCCGCUAAAAACGCAAGUAGUCGGACGAUUACCUAUAUCAUUAGCAAAAUAGUAGUAUUAUGAUGUUCAGAAAAGUUGCAAGAACUGCUCUUAUAUGUGCUAAACUCUUGAAUAAUUCAUUAGAAGUUCUAACAAAAAUUCCUUGUACAGUUGUGUACACGUUGGCGCAAGAUGACUACACAAGUAUAAACUAUCUACAACUGAAAACUUCUUUGCCUCACAUCCUAGUUCCUGAAUUCUCCAAAAAUUGUCCAAUUGGUAUAUAUAUGUAUGUAUAUGGUAAUAAUGUUAUAUAUUGCAGCAUAUGGCUUGCCCGUCAGUUUGCAGUCUUUCCCACAAGCAAAUCAGUUGUUUAGGAGAUUGAUAAUGGGCAGUAUAAUAAUCAUCAAUGCAGCCGGACUGAUGAAAACGCGAGUUGUACACAUAUUCCACUGGCCUCGACAUAAUUUUCUUUUAUUAUGUAUUUAUUAAUCUAGGACACUUCAUAAUCACCUGAGAUUAGGGAUGGCAAUGGGUAUUGGACCCGACCCAGAUCCGUGGAUCCGUAUUUGUUUUCACGGAUUUGGGUCCUAAAAAUAUAGACCCGUCGGAUCCGGAUCUGAGAAAAAUACCCAAACUCGGACCCGCGGAUCUGGAGGACCCGUUUUAUUUUUUUUUAUAUCAAAAAUAUGUUAAAAUACCUCCCUCAUAGUCACUGCCUCAUCACGACACACCCUCAUCGAUUCAGUCAUCACAUACUCCUCCCUUACUGCCUCUCACUCCCAGUCGACAGACUCGAGUACUCGACACUCGACAUCCCGCGCCUAAUUCCUGAAAAAUGUGAAAGCUUUUUCAACUUUUUCAAUCCGCCCCCAAUUCCUGAUGACGAUGAUGAUAUUGAUGAAGAAGCAGUGACUUUGAUUUUGAAGUUCUUUAAUAAUUUGAACCUCAUGUAACUACCAUUGACAAUUACCAAUUUGAAAUAUUGAUAUUUGAUAGGCGGCAAAGCUUCAGAAUCUGAUGGAGCAAGAUUAUGAGAUUGGAUUGACCAUUCGAGACAAAAUUAUUCCUCAUGCUGUAUCAUGGUUUACUGGAGAGGCAGCUAAGGGGGAUGAAUUUGAUGAUAUAAAUGAUGAUGGGGAUGAUGAAGAAGAGGAAGAUGACGAUGAUGAAGACGAAGACGAUUCAAAAACAAGUCAGACCCAUUUUGGACCCAGAUCCGGUACUGGAUCCGCAGUAUCUGCAGAUCCAGACCGGGGUGUUGCAAAACUAGACCCGCGGAUCCGAGUCCGGAUCUGGAUCCUGUUCUUGACAACGAAUCUGGAUCCGGGUUCACCUGGAUCCGGUCCAGAUCCGACCCGUUGCCAUCCCUACCUGAGAUCGAUAGUUCAAUACUAGUAUUGCUAAUUGUAGAGUUCUGAAAUUAUAUAAGUACCGAGUAUUUAAGUGUGUAGUGUAUAAAGAUUUUCUACUGUCAAACCCUGUUUUCUUCUGCUAUUCUUUGACAUUUUUCUAUUCUUUUUUUGUUAUCAGGAUUCAAGUUUUCCUUGUUCAUCCCUUAGUUGAUUUAAGAAAUAAUGGAUGAUUCGCAAUCUCAAAUCGGUUCUAAAGACUUUAAUACAUAUGAGAACAUUGCUGCAAACCAAGAGCCAUUUAAAAUGUUCCUGAGAGACUACAGCGAAGUCUGUAAUGUUGAAGAGUUUUUUAAAAAAAAGUUUAGAAGGAAUUAUUGCCAAGAAAAAUGAGUCAUUUAUAAAUCCAUAUAAUGAAUCUCGUGAGGAGAGAAAUGUGAGGAGAUUUUGCAAUGGCUAUCUAACUGUAGCCAAGAAUAUUAUAUUAAGAAGAUUGGAAACAUGGACUGAAAAUGCUUGCUUGCUUUACUAUCACUUGUCCAACGGACAUGAAUGGCCUAUUGCUAUUGAGGAAGAAGGGGCAUUGGAAGGGUCAUAGAAUUCACAUAUCUCAUGACUGUAAAGAAAUGAAGACUGUGAAGGAUACUGCAGAAUUCAAUUCUAUCAACUAUGAGGGUUGAUGUUAAUGAUGAUUUUGGUGAUUGCUAAUCGAACAUUAAGCAAGUUUAAUAAAUAGAUUAGUGCUUGUAACGAAGAUAUUGCAUGUAUUUUGCAUUGAAUAAUUAAAUACUUACUACUAUAGCAAGAACAGUGAAUAAGUAAUGAAUAUUAUGCUGCCCUACACUAGAUUCUAGAUGGGUUCCUACCCAAUAUUCUUAUGAAAGAAUGCACUAUGAUAUAUUUACAAAGAUUAUAUGUUUUUGUUGUUCCUACCCAACCUUUGUAAAUAUAUCAUAGUGCAUUCAUUCAUAAGAAUAUUGGGUAGGAACCCAUCUAGAAUCUAGUGUAGGGCAACAUAAUACUCAUUACUUAUUCACUGUUCUUGCUAUAGUAGUAAGUAUUUAAUUAUUCAAUGCGAAAUACACGCAAUAUCUUCGUUACAAGCACUAAUCUAUUUAUUAAACUUGAUUAAUGUUCAAUUAGAAUUCACCAAAAUCAUCAUUAACAUCAAUCCUCAUAGUUGAUAGAAUUGAAUUCUGCAAUAUCCUUCACAGUCUCCAUUUCUUUACAGUCAUGAGAUAUGUGAAUUCUAUGACCCUUCCAAUGCCCCUUCUUCCUCAGUAGCAAUAGGCCAUUCAUGUCCGUUGGACAAGUGAUAGUAAAGCAAGCAAGCAUUUUCAGUCCAUGUUUCCAAUCUUCUUAACGUAAUAUUCUUGGCUACAGUUAGAUAGCCAUUGCAAAAUCUUCUCACAUUUCUCUCCUUACGAGAUUCGAUCAUAUGGAUUUAAGAAUGACUCAUUUUUCUUGGCAAUAAUUCCUUCUAAACUUUAUUUUGAAAAUUCUUCAGCCUUACAGACUUCGCUGUAGUCUCUCGGGAACAUUUUAAAUGCCUCUUGGUCUGCAGCAAUGUUCUCAUAUGUAUUAAAGUCUUUAGAACCGAUUUGAGAUUGCGAAUCAUCCAUUAUUUCUUAAAUCAACAAAGAGAUGAACAAGGAAAACUUGAAUCCUGGUAACAAAAAAAGAAUAGAAAAAUAUCAAAGAAUAGUAGAAGAAAACAGGGUUUGACAGCACAAAAUCUUUAUACACUACACACUUAAAUACUCAGUACUUAUAUAAUUUCAAAAUUCUACAAUUAGCAAUACCAGUAUUGAACUAUCGAUCUCAGGUGAUUAUGAAGUGUCCUAGAUCAAUAAAUACAUAAUCAAUAAAAAAAAAUUAUGUCGAGGCCAGUGGAAUAUGUGUACAACUCGCGUUUUCAUCAGUCCGGCUGCAUUGAUGAUUAUUAUACUGCCCAUUAUCAAUCUCCUAAACAACUGAUUUGCUUGUGGGAAAGACUGCAAACUGAAGGGCAAGCCAUAUGCUGCAAUCUAUAACAUUAUUACCAUAUACAUACAUAUAUAAUACCAAUUGGACAAUUUUUGGAGAAUUCAGGAACUAGGAUGUGAGGCAAAGAAGUUUUCAGUUGUAGAUAGUUUAUACUUGUGUAGUCAUCUUGCGCCAACGUGUACACAACUGUACAAGGAAUUUUUGUUAGAACUUCUAAUGAAUUAUUCAAGAGUUUAGCACAUAUAAGAGCAGUUCUUGCAACUUUUCUGAACAUCAUAAUACUACUAUUUUGCUAAUAGCACAUAUAAGAGCAGUUCUUGCAACUUCUAAUGAAUUAUUCAAGAUUUUAAAAAUUAGUACUGCUAUCUCCUAAUUACUGUUCUAACUAACAAAUCUACUCAUAAAUAGAGGAAUUAAAUGGGAAAUUCACCAAAAAAAUCAACAAAUUUCACAGUUGAUUAACUUGUGCGCCAUGUCACCACAAUUUUAGAAAAUUCAAACAAAACAAAAAUGUAACAAAAAUAUAUAAUUACCUACUUCAAAUAAGAAAAGCAUUCGUAAACAGCAAGAGUAAAAUCAAAUGUCUUCACCAAAGAAAGAAGCAUCGAUUGUUCAACACCUGCUAAGAAACUCACAAAAGUAGAAUUAAAACCCAGGAAAAUGCAAGUAAAUUAAGCAAAAACAUUUAGCCUACAAUAAUUUUCAAAAACUCAAAAUAAAAAUUUAAAAAACCCAGAAAAAUGCAAUUAAAUUAAUCAAAAAAAAAAAUCAACACAAUAAAUUUAAACACCCAAAAUCAAAACCCAGAAAAAUGUAGGUAGGUUAAGCAAUUUUCAAACACAAUGAUUUCAAACACGAUAAAUUUCAAAAAUCCAAAAUCAAAGAAGUCAAUUAAAUUCAUCCAGGAAAAAAAUAUUGGACAAACCAGUAGAUGAGUGAUGAAAAACAUGAAGGGCAAGAGGACGGUCUCCAGGAUGAGCAAUUUUCAUUAAAGCCCAUGUUUAAAGUUGUUUACUUUCUUGGUCUGAUCUAAUCCCAACAAUCACCGUUUUUCCGCCGAAGUUUUUACCGGAAGAACAUUCUCCGUAUUUUUGAAAAUACCACCAUUUUCGUCAUUUAAUGGAGUGGAUUUAGAAGCAGCAGUGACGAUUGUGUUUGUGCUUUACACUUGCUGCAUUGAAUGUCCAUGAUCUAUCAGCAAAGGAAAGCAGCAGAGGUGGUGCAUGGGACCUGAUGUGGCAAGUGGAUGUACCAUUUGGCAGUGACGUGGCACUUUGUUGGCAAAAGAAUCUUAGCCGACUAAACCUAAAGUCAUAAACCCUCUCACUUGCUUCCGUAGAUCAUCAUCAUUCAUCACUUAACUAAACUUUGAAUGAAAUACUUCAUCCAUUGUUGUUGAAUUGAAAACCUAACCCCUAAAAAUGCUCCAACUUUGCAAAUUCUACAAACACCCUUCAUUUCUGUCACCCUUAUUUCUCAAUCCUCCACUCAUCUCUCCUCCCAUUAAACUCAUUUCUUUCUCUACUACUCUUCCUCACAAGCAUUCUAUUUCUCUUUUUCAUCCUGCUAACACCCUUGCAACUUCAAGUUCUGAAGCUUUUCAUACCAAAAAUAACGAUGAUACCUUCUUUGCUAACAAAAAUGUUUCAUGGGAUUCACUCGGUGUAUCUGAAAAACUCUUUCAUUCUCUCUUUAAUGCUGGCUUUUCUAAACCUUCCUUAAUUCAGGGAAAACUAAUGAAGUACAUUGGAGAUGUGGAGUAGACUAAGGAAUUUUUUCGGCUGUCUUCUACUCUGUUUUGAAAUAGCAACUGAUUAAAGGAUUUUGCAACAAAUGGCCUUUAUAUUUGUUUGCUGAAGGGUGUCUGCACUCUAUUCCUGUAUGUCAUCAGGCAGCUUGCAUUCCAUCUAUCGGGAAAUGAUACAGGUUUUGCUGCAGAGACCGGAAGUGGUAAAAUACAUGGUUAUCUUGUCCCACGUGUUGAGAAGCUUCAUCAAGCACAUAGCAACCACCCCGGGAUAGAAGCUAUUGGUUAUAGAAAAAGCCAGUACUCUCAGAUGUCUCUUAUUCUAUGUCCUAAUGUUAUGUUGUGUGAGCAAGUGGUUCGUAUGGCUAACUCUGUGCGGUGAUAAUGGUGAACCUCUACUUAGAGCAGCUGCUGUAUGUGGGAAGCAGGGAUGGCCCCAUAAAUAGCUUUGUUGACAUGAUUAAAUUUUGGAUUUAUAGAAAUCCAUAAAAUUCUAUAGGAUUGAUAUCUAUUCUAGUGUCUGUCUAGUAUUCUUCUUUUCCAUGGACUUUGUACUACAACAAGAGAGGUAGAUUGAUAUCUUAGAAUUUUGCGACACUUACCAAUUUGAAAAUAUAUGAAUUUGAGUCAUACGUGUUCACCUGUUUAUCCUGUCAAAAAUAAAUAAAUAAAUAAAUAUAUAUAUAUAUAUAUAUAUAUAUAUAUAUAUAUGUAUAUAUAUAUAUAUAUAUACACACACACACGAUGACCAAAAUACCCGCACACCACAUUCCUAACCAUCGGACCAUACAACACUCCUAUGACACCCCCUCAAUCAAAGAAGGAGGUGAUCGGACAUUGAGAUUGGACCGAAACUCAUCAAAUAAAACCCGAGGCAAGCCUUUCAUAAAUAUGUCUGCAAUAUUAAAAUGAGAGGUGACAUGUAACACCCGGGCUUGACCAGGAGCCACCUUCUCACGAACAAAUUGAAUAUCCAACUCAAUAUGUUUAGUGUGCUGGUGCUGGAUAGGAUUUCCCGAAAGAUAAAUGGCACUAACAUUAUCACAGUAGACUAAGGAAGCUCUAGGAGAAGAUUACGAAGCCAAUUAGUCUCGGCAACCACAUUGGCAACGACACGAUACUCAGCCUUCGUACUAGAACAAGAAAUAGUAGAUUGUCUCUUUGUGGACCAUGAAAUCAAGUUAUCACCAAGAUACACACAAUAUCCAGACGUGGACCGUCUAGUAUCAGGACAAAUAGCCCAAUCCGCAUCAGUAUAACACACUAAGGAUGAUGACGAAGUAGCGGUAAGAUGAAGACCCAAUUGUAUAGUACCCUAACAUAUCGAAUAAUACGCUUCAAAGCAUGGAAAUGAUGUUUCCUAGGAUCAUGCAUAUGGAGACAGAUUUGCUGCACAGCAUAAGAUAUAUCCGGACGAGUGAAGGUUAGAUACUGAAGAGCUUCGAUAAGACUUCGAUAAAGGGUCGCAUCAAAAACUAGAGAGCUCCUCGUUAAGUUUGCGUGCAAUAUCCACUAGGGUAUUAGAAGGCUUACAUGAUGACAUACCAACCCACUCAAUUAUAUCAGUAGCAUACUUAUCCUAAGAAAAAAAAAACCAUUUGUAGUACGAGUAACUUUAAUACCCAAAAAAUAAUGAAGAAGGCCCAGUUCCUUCAUAACAAACUCAGAAGACAAAAGAGAUGAUAUUUUGUCGGAGAGACUCAAAUGAAGCAGUCAACACAAUAUCAUCAACAUAUAGCAACAGAAAAGCAAUGUCCUUACCACUACGGUAAAUAAACAAAGAGCCACCAAGGACAGCAGUCGGCAGCACCUUCCCUUUCCUUGCAGCUGGCAGCGACCGUGACUCACCCCAAGCAGCUGGCAACGACUGUGACUCACCCAAGCAGCUUGCAGAGACUCACCUAAGCAGCAGGCGGCAGCAGCUGCGUUUCUUGGAGGUUCCCACAGCAGCAGCCGUGUCUGGCACACCACAGGCUGUCCACCUUCGUGCUCCACCACCACCACAACACCACCUAUACCCUCACCCUUUUCUAGUUUCUCCAUUCAGGGGGAUCAUAGACAAGCGUAGCAGGUACUGGAGCUUCUUUUGCAUUGCAUUGCAUUGCAUUUGGGAAGAGUGAUGAGAGCGAAGCAUUCCCUGUGUCAUACCGCUACCUUUUGAUUUUGUAGUUUUUGUUAUCUUUUGUAAACCUUGGUUGUAUAUGUUUUGUUAUGAGGCUUUGCGUCCUCCCUCGCAUAUUUGUAUUUCUGUUGCGUAGUUUAUAACUCUGUAUGGUUUUGAGGAGUUAAGUCUUUUUAAAACGCAAACGUCGACACUGGAACCACGAUCCAUGCUUGGCAUGUUGAUUUGAGAAGUCGGCGACGAAUUAUUCCGCCGUGACAUAGUUUUGAUAGGCCGUUGGUGCCUUUACUUUAUUAGUUUCUGAAUUAACUUUUGUUUUUCUACAAAGGCGCACAGUUUUAAGGCAGAUGCUGCCAAAAUUUCUACUCACCUUUUUAGAGUUAAUAUUUAACGUUUAUCUAAAUUCUAUUCCUUUUCUUUUAUGUAACACCCGAAUUUCCUCCUGUCCUUUACGGUUUUGGUUUCGUUAAGGGGUCGGAAAUUCUGGGGUGUUACAAGGUAUCAUAGAGACUAUUAAAAAACCCUAUCGAGUAAACAUACUCAGCAAAAUGCUGAUACUAAGCACGUGGAGCCUGUUUUGAGCCAUACAAAGAUCUCUUUAGUCGGCACACAUAAUCGGGAUGUUGAUAAUCACGAAACCCCUUAGGUUGAUGCAUAUACACUGUUUCGGCAAACUACCAUGUAAAAAAGCAUUUUUGACAUCUAACUGAUAAAUAGACCAGAACCGAGAUAAGGCCAGGCUCAGAACAACCCGUAUCGCAGUCGGUUUUACAACCGGAGUAAAUGUCUCGAGACAAUCCACACCAACUUGUUGAGAACUGCCAUCACCUACAAGACGAGCCUUAUACCUUGCAAAAGAUCUGUCAGAAUUGGUUUUAUGGCAAAAAAUCCACAUACAACGAAUAAUAUUGACUCUUGAUGGACGAGGAACCAAUUCCUAUGUAUCAUUAUGAAUAAGAGCAGUAUAUUCUUCUUGCAUAGCCACUUUCCAAUGAGGAUCCGAUAGAGCCUCUUUUGCAUUGUGUGGGACAAGGGAAAGUGUGGUGACCACAGAAAGAUUAAGAGGUUUUCGAGGUUUGAAUAUGCCAUGUUGGGAAUGAGUGGUCAUAGAAUGUCUAGGCAAGGCCGGCUGAGGAUGGGGAGAAGAGGAGAGGCAACCUAGAGUGACAGUAGCGACAUGAGAGCCUAUAUCACGUGGGUGAUUGGCCGAAGCCAGAUGUAGAGGCUGGGACGAAGAAUUAGACUGAAAAGAAGGAAGAGGCAUGCUAACUUCAUCAAUCGAGGAAUAGACUUGGACAGACUCACCUUCACGAGGUACUUGUGAAACAGAUUGCCUAGAAUGAGAAGAUGGAAAUUAAAGUUCUGGAACAUUGGGCUGAGGAUUAACCAUUGGAUAUAAUCCAAGAGGAUAAUGUGAGUCCAGAAAUUCAUAUUUUGAGGGCAUGGCCGAUUUAAGCUUGACAAAUGGAAAUUCUGUCUCAUGAAAUUGAACAUGAAGGGAAAUAAAAAUGCGAUUAGUCGAUAGAUCCAAACAUUUAUACCCCCGAUGAUUGGAUGGAUAACCCAAGAACACACAUGGAGUAGAGCGUGCUUGCAACUUAUUGAUAGUAGUUGAUGGAAAAAGAGGAUAACUGUAACAUCCUCAUAAUAGGUCGGACUUUUGAAAACACCUUUAAUGAAAAACAUGAGCCAAAACCUACUCAUGGAGUGUUACCGCCACAUCUAUUUCUAAUAAAAUAAAUGUAAGGCUUAACGACUAAGAAAUAACUUAAUAAUUUUAAAUCCAACAAAGGAUCUUACAACAAAAGAAAAGACUGAAACGUAAUUUGUGUGCAUAUAAAAUUUAAACAACCUAAGGUAAAAUUUAAACUGAAAUACGACUCUAGUAAAAGCUAUAUUUCUAAGUGAUCCUCACUCCGCGAUUCCCAUGCAAUCAAUAACCUGUAACAUAAGAAUGCAAGAAAAACAAGGGAAAAACUCCCAAAAUUAGAAAAAUUGAGUAAUUCCAACUCCAUCCCGUAAGACGAUUGAGUUUGAAAAUGAUUUAAGAAAAUACAAUAUAAUCAAAUUGGAAAUAAUUUUAGAAAAUAACAUAUAGCUGAGUUUAAUAGAAAACAAUUUGAGAAAAUAAUAUAUAUAAUAUCACAUAAACCAAUUUAUUAAUUUGAUAAUUAAUAAUGACAAACACAUAAUCAAUUUUAAAUUUGAGGGAACGAGAACGCCAGUAGGCCGAGGCUUUACCCCUAUACCUACUUCAUCAAGAGGUCGUCACCCCAAAUAAUUCAAGGCCAGCAGAGUAGUCUCAGGGAACCCUAGUGUGCACACCCCUUCUACUUGGAUCACAACAAAUAGAAGGAAGACCAAACAUCGUAUCAAGUAUCAGAAAUUAUAAUACCUGUCGGCAGCUAUACUAACUAAACAGGACAACCUGUUCAUCACCGUUAUACUUGGAUCACAACAAAUAUAAGAGCUUCGUUUCCCUCAUGUUACACUUUACGUGAUUUAAUAUAUUUUAAUAAUUAGUCGCGAGCACACAAACAUGCAAUCAAACAUAUAUUAUACAUUUUAUUUUAUGAUCAUAAAUUUUUCCCAAUAAAUAUAUAUAUCU